This 393-nucleotide ribosomal RNA is filed under the name uncultured bacterium. RNAcentral's name for it is "partial 16S ribosomal RNA". It matches the Rfam family "Bacterial small subunit ribosomal RNA", at positions 523 to 918 of the family's 1533-position model. The record is from RNAcentral.
AUACGGUAGGUCCGGGCGUUAUCCGGAUUUAUUGGGUUUAAAGGGAGCGCAGGCGGAGAUGCAAGCGUGACGUCAAAUUUCGGGGCUCAACCCCGUCUCGCGUCGCGAACUGCGUCCCUUGGUUGCGGGAAGGGGAGGCGGAACUCGUGGUGUAGCGGUGAAAUGCAUAGAUAUCACGAAGAACUCCGAUCGCGAAGGCAGCCUUCCGGCCCGUCAACGACGCUCAUGCUCGAAGGUGCGGGUAUCAAACAGGAUUAGAUACCCUGGUAGUCCGCACAGUAAACGAUGGACACCCGCGGUUUGGCCUGUAUGGCUGAGCCGCCAAGCGAAAGCGUUAAGUGUCCCACCUGGGGAGUACGCCGGCAACGGUGAAACUCAAAUGAAUUGACGGGG